GACGAACGCUGGCGGCGUGCUUAACACAUGCAAGUCGAACGGAAAGGCCCUGCUUUUGUGGGGGGCUCGAGUGGCGAACGGGUGAGUAACACGUGAGUAACCUGCCCUUGACUUUGGGAUAACUUCAGGAAACUGGGGCUAAUACCGGAUAGGAGCUCCUGCUGCAUGGUGGGGGUUGGAAAGUUUCGGCGGUUGGGGAUGGACUCGCGGCUUAUCAGCUGGUUGGUGGGGUAGUGGCUUACCAAGGCUUUGACGGGUAGCCGGCCUGAGAGGGUGACCGGCCACAUUGGGACUGAGAUACGGCCCAGACUCCUACGGGAGGCAGCAGUGGGGAAUAUUGCACAAUGGGCGGAAGCCUGAUGCAGCAACGCCGCGUGCGGGAUGACGGCCUUCGGGUUGUAAACCGCUUUCGCCUGUGACGAAGCGUGAGUGACGGUAAUGGGUAAAGAAGCACCGGCUAACUACGUG
RNAcentral lists this ribosomal RNA (468 nucleotides) under uncultured bacterium. RNAcentral's name for it is "partial 16S ribosomal RNA". It matches the Rfam family "Bacterial small subunit ribosomal RNA", at positions 28 to 507 of the family's 1533-position model. The record is from RNAcentral.